RNAcentral lists this ribosomal RNA (253 nucleotides) under uncultured bacterium. RNAcentral's name for it is "partial 16S ribosomal RNA". It matches the Rfam family "Bacterial small subunit ribosomal RNA", at positions 524 to 776 of the family's 1533-position model. The record is from RNAcentral.
UACGAAGGGGGCUAGCGUUGUUCGGAAUUACUGGGCGUAAAGCGCACGUAGGCGGUUUUGUACGUCAGGGGUGAAAUCCCGGGGCUCAACCUCGGAACUGCCUUUGAUACUGCAAGUCUCGAGUCCGAUAGAGGUGAGUGGAAUUCCUAGUGUAGAGGUGAAAUUCGUAGAUAUUAGGAAGAACACCAGUGGCGAAGGCGGCUCACUGGAUCGGUACUGACGCUGAGGUGCGAAAGCGUGGGGAGCAAACAGG